CGCGUAGGCGGCCUUCUAAGUCGAACGUGAAAUCCCUGGGCUCAACCCCAGGAACUGCGUCCGAUACUGGAAGGCUCGAAUCCGGGAGAGGGAUGUGGAAUUCCAGGUGUAGCGGUGAAAUGCGUAGAUAUCUGGAGGAACACCGGUGGCGAAGGCGACAUCCUGGACCGGUAUUGACGCUGAGGCGCGAAAGCCAGGGGAGCAAACG
RNAcentral lists this ribosomal RNA (208 nucleotides) under uncultured bacterium. Its description in RNAcentral is "partial 16S ribosomal RNA". It matches the Rfam family "Bacterial small subunit ribosomal RNA", at positions 568 to 774 of the family's 1533-position model. The record is from RNAcentral.